AGAGUUUGAUCAUGGCUCAGGACGAACGCUGGCGGCGUGCCUAACACAUGCAAGUCGAGCGAUGAAGUUUCCUUCGGGAAACGGAUUAGCGGCGGACGGGUGAGUAACACGUGGGUAACCUGCCUUAUAGUGGGGGAUAGCCUUUCGAAAGGAAGAUUAAUACCGCAUAAGAUUGUAGUAUCGCAUGAUAUAGCAAUUAAAGGAGCAAUUCGCUAUAAGAUGGACCCGCGUCGCAUUAGCUAGUUGGUGAGGUAAUGGCUCACCAAGGCGACGAUGCGUAGCCGACCUGAGAGGGUGAUCGGCCACAUUGGGACUGAGACACGGCCCAG
RNAcentral lists this ribosomal RNA (329 nucleotides) under uncultured bacterium. RNAcentral's name for it is "bacterial SSU rRNA". It matches the Rfam family "Bacterial small subunit ribosomal RNA", at positions 8 to 334 of the family's 1533-position model. The record is from RNAcentral.